Molecule: long non-coding RNA, 2233 nt
Organism: Enhydra lutris kenyoni (northern sea otter)
Lineage: Eukaryota; Metazoa; Chordata; Mammalia; Carnivora; Mustelidae
Exons: 5
Source: RefSeq, a predicted model, not a curated record
AGGGCGCGGUAGACUCCUUGGCGCCUGCGGGCUGCUGCGGGCAGCACUGGCAGAGUGCGGUGGCUCUGGGUGGGCGGGGCCGUACACCCGCGGUCUUCUCUCCAGGCGGGACGAGGCUGUGCUAACGGGUUACUUUGAGAAGUGGCGGUUCUAGGUUCUGGUGUGAGACUCCUUCUUUGGGCAGUGUAUUUGGAUGGCUCAGAAAUGGGCGCCGCUCCACUUAACCCCGAGUUCUCAGUCUGGAAAGAUCAGAAUGUCAAAACACUUUUCGAGAACCUGCCUGACAAAGUCAUUCAACAUGAGUUAAAAGAAGUGUUUAAGGAUGCCUUUCAAGUCAGAUUGGUGAGCAAGGAUGGGACGAGUAAAAGUGUAUUUUGUACCUAUAUUGAAAAAGAAUAUAUUUCUACUGGAUUCAGACAUAACAGAAUUUCAUUACAUUCUCCUUAACUGCUUAAGGAAAGAAAAAAGAAGAGAAAAGAAAAGAAAAGAAAAGAAAAAAAAGAACCAACAACCCAGGAAAAAUAGUGGCAAAUUAUAAACAGGAAGUUCGGGUUUGUGAAUUUUAAAUUUGCUCAUGACCAGGGAAGAGCCUUGAGACUUAGUGAGACAAACGUCCUUGGGUAUGAAAUUAAAUUAAGAAAACCGAAAAGAAAGGAUGUAAGAAAGAUCAGAAUGUCAAAACACUUUUCGAGAACCUGCCUGACAAAGUCAUUCAACAUGAGUUAAAAGAAGUGUUUAAGGAUGCCUUUCAAGUCAGAUUGGUGAGCAAGGAUGGGACGAGUAAAAGUGUAUUUUGUACCUAUAUUGAAAAAGAAUAUAUUUCUACUGGAUUCAGACAUAACAGAAUUUCAUUACAUUCUCCUUAACUGCUUAAGGAAAGAAAAAAGAAGAGAAAAGAAAAGAAAAGAAAAGAAAAAAAAGAACCAACAACCCAGGAAAAAUAGUGGCAAAUUAUAAACAGUUUGAAUCCUGCAUGUGUGUCACUAAUUCAGAAGAUGAAAGGACUAAAUGUUGACUCUUCGUUCUUCUCUCCCCCACACCAUCUCCACAACUGCAGGAUUGCAUAUGUUGAUUUCAAGUCACAGGCUGAUGCAGAAAGAGCCUUGGACUAGAAACAAGGAGCAGAGGUCAGUGGGCUUGCCAUAGUUCUGGGCCACGCUGGAGAGAAAAGCCAAGGCCAAGAAGGGAGGGGGGAGACGCACAGCACAUAGAGAAGUAAGGGAUGUUAACGUGCUGUAGACUGAGGCUUGCCAGGGUUGUCAGCAGAGUCCCCCAGAGAGGGGCUUACAGGGGGAGAGGGACACUUCCAUACAAUGUCUCCCUGUAUCAAAAAUGUGUAAGUCAUCCUCCUAUCAAGCAAAUGAGUAGUGUCCUAGUUAACUGUAACCACAAAAUCUGCAAAAACAUGGCACUUUGAGGUCCAUCAGCUCCCCAAGAAGGGGAUUCUGUUUGGACAGGUUCUUAAACCUGUGGUUUCAGAAUUCGAGAUUUAAUUCUCUUCAAGUAGAGUUUUUGUCUGCUUUAAACCAGAGAUCCCAAACCAGUGUCCCUAAGCUGCCUAAUUUGAUGGGUAGAUGUGGUAUAUAUAAUAUUUUCAGGAAAAAGAAUUUAUUAUGUAUCAUGAAAUUUCACAUUGGUAGUAUCCCUCAUCUGCCUAAUCUGAUGGGUAGAUGUUGUAGCUUAUCUAGUAUUUACAGGAAAAAAACCCAAUCUAUUACUAAUAUUUUUAAGAAUCAAGGACUUUCAGGUAGAAUUCUGGAUUUCCAGCUUCUUUUGCUGGGGCCUCAAAAUUGAUGGCCUGGGGCUGCGUUCCUGCGUGUCUGCAGUCACCUGCACAAGGACAAUCAGAGAUUUCUUCUUAGUCAUGCCCUACAGUCCCCAAGCCCCCACAAUUUACUCAGUUCUCCCCUACUUCGAAGGAGUGAACUGCACACUUCCACUUUGCAAAAAUAGAGUCUCUACGUUUCUCUUGCAAAGUAGUACUUUUCUAUCUGUAAAGGUGACAUUUUAAUAUUUCUUAUGUGUUUGUGUGUUCCAAAAGUGGGAAAACAAAAGCUAAAACAAGAAAGCCAUGUGUUUCAAGAAAAAUAGGAACAAGCUUAUUUCUUUGUGGAGGUUAAGAAUGUUCCUACGUGUUUAAUAUGCAAAGUGUGCCGGUGUCGAUGGAAUUGAACCUCAGACGCCAUUAUGAAACAAUCCACAGAAGGAACCAUGAUGGAUAUACUCAAAAGAU